GAUGAACGCUGGCGGCGUGCCUAAUACAUGCAAGUCGAGCGAACAGACGAGGAGCUUGCUCCUCUGACGUUAGCGGCGGACGGGUGAGUAACACGUGGAUAACCUACCUAUAAGACUGGGAUAACUUCGGGAAACCGGAGCUAAUACCGGAUAAUAUAUUGAACCGCAUGGUUCAAUAGUGAAAGACGGUUUUGCUGUCACUUAUAGAUGGAUCCGCGCCGCAUUAGCUGGUUGGUAAGGUAACGGCUUACCAAGGCAACGAUGCGUAGCCGACCUGAGAGGGUGAUCGGCCACACUGGAACUGAGACACGGUCCAGACUCCUAAGGGAGGCAGCAGUAGGGAAUCUUCCGCAAUGGGCGAAAGCCUGACGGAGCAACGCCGCGUGAGUGAUGAAGGUCUUCGGAUCGUAAAACUCUGUUAUUAGGGAAGAACAAAUGUGUAAGUAACUAUGCACGUCUUGACGGUACCUAAUCAGAAAGCCACGGCUAACUACGUG
This 497-nucleotide ribosomal RNA is filed under the name uncultured bacterium. RNAcentral describes it as "partial 16S ribosomal RNA". It matches the Rfam family "Bacterial small subunit ribosomal RNA", at positions 28 to 507 of the family's 1533-position model. The record is from RNAcentral.